This is a non-coding RNA of Podarcis lilfordi (Lilford's wall lizard), 78 nucleotides long. The record is from the annotation of a GenBank genome assembly. Lineage: Eukaryota; Metazoa; Chordata; Lepidosauria; Squamata; Lacertidae.
GCUUUCCAACUUGAGCUCAGUUGGUAGAGCAUGAGACUCUUCCACUCAGGGCUGUUGGAUCGUGCCCCACAUUGGGCA